RNAcentral lists this long non-coding RNA (34812 nucleotides) under Chlamydomonas reinhardtii. Its description in RNAcentral is "long non-coding RNA (CREI_LNC000355)". The record is from RNAcentral. Lineage: Eukaryota; Viridiplantae; Chlorophyta; Chlorophyceae; Chlamydomonadales; Chlamydomonadaceae.
AUCGCUAACUCAGUUAGCGAUUUGACUCGUCCUUACGGCAGAAGGGACCCGGGUACGAACCCGGAUAAAAGCCCAAUUAUGCAAAAGGCGAAAGAUUGGUGCGAAACCGAUUGGUGAUCCCAUGAACGAUAGGUAAUUGCCCUCAGUGGCAAUUGCGGGCUUAUGCCGGCUGCAACCUAGAAAGGUCGUGGUGCAGAAGUCCGAUUUAGUGGCGAGGUCCAAGGUUCAAGACAAGGCUCAAGAUCCAAGGCUCGAGGAGGAGCGCCAUGGCUCCUCGGUUUGCACGAACUGGCAGUGCUCCACUACUAUAACGCGGCGUUUCCCUAGCACGAUAUGUUAGGUGUGCAGGCUCGGAUGUAGUGGACUUUGAAGAGCGGCCUAGGAAUUGGAGGUUGUAGUUUCGGAGGUUGUGACUCUUUCGUGGUGAGGCGUCAGCGUGAGGGGGGUGGGCCCUCUCACCCUAGUCACCUUGCCCCGUUAAUCCAUGCCAGGCCCUAUGGGCCGGCGUUGUAAUUAUUAUUAUUAUUAUUAUUAUUAUUAUUAUUAUUAUUAUUAUCCCUACCCCGGCUCCCCUGCGCGGGGGCCGCCAUUGGCGGUCCCCUGGGUGCGGCCUCCUGGGCGGCAUCGGGUGUUGGCAAUGCCCAUCUCUCACCCUACCGUUCCAGCCCCCAUUAAACCAUCGGUAAAUCACCGGUUACCUGGUGGUUAUCCCCGUGAGAAUGACGGCUUUGUCACCUCGGUUACCAUCAGUCUAAUUGGACUAGAGACGGCAGACCGACGGUCUAUAGACCACUUCACUGGUUACCGUCGGUUAACAGAAGGCAUGGUAACCAGCGGCUGACCGACCAGUUACCGUUCAGUGACCGGCGGUAACCGAUCAAGUAAGUGCUGCCGCCCAGGCCUGCCCAGCAGCCGCCCCAGCCCCUGGCGCCCGGCUGCCGCCCCAGCACCUGGCGCCCAGCUGCUGCCCAAGCCCCAGGCUGCUGCCCCAGCCCCCGGCUGCUGCCCCAGCCCCCGGCUGCUGCGCCAGUCCCGCAGUCACGCUACAACCCCCGCCCCGUCCAUGAGAGAGGCACAGUAGGCAUCCAACAGCUAUUACAAGACCGCAGUGGUCAUGCCCUGCCUUGCCCUUCACAAGACCAGAGGGAUAAAGUCCCUUGCAGCUGGGAAGUCCACACGCAGCCUACCUCCACGCUGAUUCACACAAGUGACUAGGCAUGGUCUGGCCUCCACAAUCCAUAGCAGCCACCUGAGCACUAAGCAGCACCGUCAUGGACACCAUGCGCCAACAUCGCAGCAUAUGUCCUAGCUCACUCCACCAUCCAUCCCUGCAGCAGCAAUGCGGUGCAAUAUGUGAGACGGAAUUGAAGGGAUGGGCCCAUCCCUUGCCUCAAAGCUGCCCUCCCUGUCCCCGGGACCAUGCCACUGCCUUGCAAACUUACGGCUUGACUGCAGUCCUCGCGCCACCUGCGGCCUUGACACCAUCCAGCCGCGGGAAAGGGCGCGAGCAUGGUGGGCCGUAACCUGAUUGCGAUGCCAUAGCAACUGUAGCCAGCUCCAUGCCCUGUGGGGAACAAAUAAUGCUUAGCCAAACCUCUGUACCAACCCUUGUAAGCUCGUCGCUAGGAAAUAUGUGGAAAAUGGUUGCUCGGCGAAAGGUGGAGCGAAAGACCGCAGGUAUCUGUGUUCUGCUAUGCUUUGCACUCUGCAUGCUGACAACCAACGCAACCACGGCUGGGAAAGGGGCUGGACCUGCCGCGGCCGAACGCUGGUUUGACUGGGGACCGCCCCGGCGAGCCAGUGCUUUCGUGCACUUAGGCAACCAGCGAACUCCCCAUGACCAUAUGUGGUUUGCAUAUCCGUCUCGAACGGAUGUAAACGAGCUCUCUCUGAGGGAGAGGAUUUCGCAUGGCUACAGCUUCCCCGCGAACGCGACGCUAUCGUCGCAUCGCUGCUCUCAGACAGGCAUACUUGAUGCCAGUAUCCUGCACACAACGUGCUACACAGCUAGCAAGCUUGCUGGCACCGGGCCCCUCGGCAUGUCGCAAAUGAGACCCUCGCAAAGCCCAGCUGCUGCAAAGCACCCGCAUAUUGAGGGGCUUAUAAGCUCCAAGCACAUACCAGUUGCCUCAGAGCCGCUCGCCAACGACGUCCCAGAAAGGGGCCGAGCCGAACCUCCAGUAUUUACAGCUAAUUCCCAGCUCUAUGAAAAUGCGAGUUUGCUCACAGAACCACCACCGACAAGCUCCGAACGAAGGCAAUACCGAAGCCCUAGCGGACUCCUGUCGCGCGCAAAGGUUAAGCCCAAGCCUGGAUGCACCAACAUACGCAAUGCGAUGAUAACGGCUUUGCAGCCGGUAGGGGAGGGGCUCCUUUCUACCAAUCUGAAAAUAGCACAGGCAUGCAGAAAUGGCGUGACAAAAUUAUGCACAGCGGAGGGAGCAUACCGUUCAUAUGCGACUAAGACAAUCAGGCUGCUUGCAGAGAGCCUAUUGACGAGUGUGCUUGCGCUGGGCGACCUGGGCAAUCGGCAUGGAGGAACCCUGCUGCGCUCCGGUGCUUCGGCACUGCACUCCAUGGCAGAAACAGCCUACGGGCCGCAACCGACCCUUAACUGUAGCGCCCCCUGGGAAAGAUCACCACUCCUUCGCCUGCACCUUACACUCGUCGUCCACUUCCACUGGGCUGGAGCAGGGCAUGUGCGGGCAGCCAUGCACAGCCAUACAAUUGCCAACAGAGUAGCCGCACAUCUUGCUACCCGGUCUAGACUCGCCAUCUACCAAACAGCCGCCCAGACUGGCAAAGCCCUACACACCAUACUUGACAAAGCCAUUGUCAGCCUCACAAUCAUGGCCGCGACAGGGGCCAUGUAUACGCUCUGGACCCACCUCCUGCAUGCCGAAACCCGCACUGCCUCAGUCAACUCAGAAAUCUGUACAAACGGUGCAAUCCUCAGCCUGCUACUAUGGGGUCCCACACUCACCACUCUCGCUCUCUCCCCUCUGUGUGUAAUAGCGCUUGCCCUCGGGAUAACCGCCAUCCCCGCAGCCCUCGGUCUCCUGUUCGCACUGACAGUGACAUCCAUCCUUGCCGUCCUCUGUCUCCCAGCUCUCCUCAAACAUGUGGUCCAAGUGACACGGCAGAUAGCCUCUGCAACCUGGGCCCGGCGGAAGCUCCUACUCUGGGGAACUGCCAUGGUCAUUAUCCUGCGAAACCUGUACCUCACACUGCCGGACCCUUGCAGUGUGCAACCGGCACAGCUGACACUCUGGGGGCCAGCACUGGCCACCGGCCUACUUACUGCUAGCCAGGCAACCACUCUCCUCACGCUUACAUAUGCAGUAAACCGGACACACACGGUGGCCUACGUCAAGCCAACACUGCGAGGUGCGCUGCCCACAGGCCCGACAGCCCCGCCGGCGCCCGCCGACCCUCGCAUUCAUGCGGCAGUGAACACCCAACCACCAGCCGCGCUGCACUGGCCGCCCCGGUCCAAUGCAACAUACCGUGAAACACAGCGGCAACACUUCUGCAGUGUCCACGCCCUCAACAACUCUUUGGGGCUCGCAUGGCUCGACCCUCUAGAUGUCCUCUCUUAUGCUAAACGAGUGCACGCUCACCUUACAGCCGCGCAGGAUCCGAAUGCCCUGUUCUGGAAAGAAUGCUACUGCCCCAACAGUGGCGCCUUCAGCGAACUUCUCCUGAACCACUACCUGUACCACAAUGCCACCAUCAGCAACAUAUUUGCCUACCCCAACAGGAAGCUGAUUAUGCGCCGAACCCACUUUCCCCGACUCAAUGGCGACAUCAGCAAAGAAAAGGUCCUAGAGAACCUUCCGGUAGCCGCCCGAACUCGCGGCUUUACCGUCCACCAAUACACUGUGCGACACACAAUUGCUGUGCGUUACAAAGCAGGACAAUGGAGAGUAAUAGACUCGGUGAACAGCCCUAUCCACAACACGGUCUUACACGACAACACUUGGAACACACUUGAUGGGGAGGUCUGGUGCCUUGACGCGGUGCGUGCAUCUGACACGGCAACACUUCAGGACACACUUGGGCAACUCCGUGAGAUCGUCCCGCCACCACGCCCGCCACCCCACAUGGAGGCCACCAGACCCGUGCAGACAGGGCCCGCCGCCACAGGAAGGCCGGCACCAGAGCCCGCUCAACAUGCCCAAGACAACUCACCGCUGCGGGCAGCACACAGGGCGCCACAGCAUGCAGCACCCCACACUACCGCACCCGCGCAGCCACACAAUGCAAAUGCUGGCAUAGCACCCCGACUCAACACGACAGGCACCCGACAAACUAUCCUUAACUGGCUAGUACGGCCCACUGCACGCAACCAUGCCCACAUGGAACCCAACCAGGCACACACAAACACGCGACCCCCCAGCAGCAACACCACCCUACACAUCGUGACCCACAAUGUACGGGGACUGCUCUCAGAAAUUUUGUCCACCGGCCAACCCGGCAACCUCAGCUUCACCCUCUGCAACCUAGCCCAGUGGAAAGCCGACAUAGUUGUCCUAACUGAGACAAAACUGACAGGGAAGACUGACUCUAUCAAGCGAGCCUUCCGAAAUGAAGGAUACCGCCUCUACUGUAGCACUACUCCCCGCGUGGCCACAGCGCGCGGUAGCGCUGGCGUAGCGGUGGCCAUCUCCGCCCGGUACAGUGACCUCGGCUGUGUCACACACCACACGCCCCCACCAACACUCCAUGGCUAUGUGUCACACGUUCAAAUUAAGACCCCGGGGAGCACGCCUCUCACUGUACUGGGCAUCUACGCACCAGAGGACAUGCAAACCCGCAAGGCAAUCUACACAUACUGUCAGCAGGUGGUAGGCCGGGCGGACGCGUGCGGACACCACCUAGUCACCGCGGGAGACUUUAACGCCGUCGCCCGAGCACAUGAGCGGGACAGCCCCAUCGACACGGCGGACCGGGCCCACCAGCGGUUCCUUGCCGAUAGUGGCCUGUGCCCUAUCCGCGGAGACACCACUACCACUGCCGAAUGGUCAUAUGAACAAUCACGCCCGGGCAUGGCCCCAUACCACAGUCGCAUCGAUGACAUCCUCCUAUGCCCUGCCACGCGCGCUGCAUGCACAGAAGCGCGUGAAUACACCAGUACAGUUGCAGGCAACUUUGACCACAAACCAGUCCACGCAGAGUUACUAGCCGCGGACCUACAGCUAUGGCCGGCACCACAGGCCGGCGCCCGGAACCCAGCCCCCCAGCAGCAGACCCAACAACGAUGGGCCGAGGUCGCCCUGCCCGUCACACAAAAGCAACUGGCCGCCGCAGCUAUCCGCCUUGAGGAAGCCUUGGUGGAAGCAACAGCCGACCUACAUUCCGCAACAAGGCAGGCAACGCAAUCAAUUGAACAUGCACUCACGAGGCACAGCAUGGACCCCACAGGCUACCCCGCCAGCGUCAUGCACCGAGACCUUGCGCAGGACACGAGCAUCCAGAAGGCCGAUAUCAACCAACUUGCAGAACAACUUGCCUCCGCACUGGACACCGGGCUAACAUGCCUCCUUGAAGAGUGCACCCGGAAAGCCCCCUUCACUGGCAAACACCACGCAUCACGCUCCACCGCACGGGUGCUAAAGCCCCUAUGGGACAAGGAAGUGGCCCUGAAGACACAACUGACAAACCUCACGCAAGGGCCCCAGGCCCUACCUGAGGUAGACGCCGCCAAUGCAGCAGCAAAGCUGCGGAACGAAAUAAAGGCCUGCCAGGCCGAGCACCGCCAGCUAGUGGCGGACCGCGCCAAAGCCCAGCGAGAGGCCGCUGCCACAGCGCUGCAACAUACCCUGGCCACGCGCCCUGCACAGGGGCACAAGAGAAUCUUUCAGAAGGAAGACAUGGAACGGGGUCUCCCAGCGGUCCGGAACCCAGAAACUGGGGAGGUGACGACUGACUCCACCAGCAUCCUCGCCAUACUCGAAACCCACUUCCGAAAGCUGUCCGCCCCACCACGCGGCACCCGCACUGGGGACUUCCGACUACCCAGCAACGCCACACGCGGCUACCCAUUUGAGAAAGCCGACGCAACAGAUCAAUUCACACUGGACCGCAACCGGCACCCUGACACACACUCCAUGCUCCCCAGCAUGGCAGACACGGCAAAUUUUGAACAGUGCAUUUCUCACCUCUCCAGAAACAAGGCGACAGGCCCUGAUGGCAUACCAAACGAACUGCUCCGUAUCCUGCCAUCGGGCAUGAAGCGUAACCUCCACUGUAUCCUGCAAAUCAUGUACGUCAAAUCACAAAUACCUGAAACCUGGGCCGCAUCGGAGACCGUGCUACUCCCCAAACCUGGAGACGCCCUGGACAUAAAAAACAAACGGCCCAUUGCGCUCGCAAACACCUGCUACAAGCUGUACACGUCCAUGCUUACCUUGGGCAUUGGUGAACUGGCUGGCCCCCUCCAGCUAUUCAGUGAAGCACAGGAAGGCUUCCGUGCCUACUGCAACACCGAAAGGCAGGUCCUAAAUUUAGUACAUGCCCUUGAGGAUGCCGCACUGUUUGGAAAAGAUGUCUAUGCGGUAUACGUGGACUAUAGCUCCGCGUUUAACACAAUCGACCAGGACCGAUUACUACAAAUUAUGUUUGACCUUGGGCUGCCAACGGACCUGAUCCGCGCAGUCCGCAACCUAUAUGCACAUGCGACCACCCACAUCCGCACCGAACACGGAAGCACAUCCGCCAUUCCUAUAGAGCGAGGCACCGUGCAAGGUGAUACACUCUCACCUGUGCUCUUUAUUCUGUUCAUGGAACCUCUUGUCCGCUGGCUCCAUGCGGGCGGACGGGGCUACCACUACGGCUGCCUGACCCCGAGCGAAAACCUGCAAUACCAUUGCAGUGCCGCCGCGUACGCAGACGACCUGGCGGCGCUCACCAACUCGCUCGACGACCUGCAGGUUCAAUGUGACAAAAUCGCAUCUUACGCCGAGUGGGCGAGCCUGCGUGUCAAUCACACCAAGUGUGCCACCACCGCCAUCUGGCACGACAAAUCUCGCUCGGACCCCAACCUUGACGGGCCCACAGGAAAAGCUACCCUCGCCGCCAUGCGCCGCAACAUGACCAACACAAUUAAGAUUGGCACGACCCCUGUCCCGUACUUCCCCCCGACCCAGCCGUACAAGUACCUGGGAGUGCAGCUCACGUUCUCGCUGGACUGGUCGGCACAUGUCGCAAGAGUCACCGAGAUUGUGAAGGACAAGGGCACAGCCAUUGCCACAUCCCUGGCGACACCGGCACAACGCCUGCGCAUGAUACAACAGUGCGUGCACACCACAGUUGCAUAUGGAUUCGCAGCAAUGCCCUUCACAAAACAGGACAUAACAACGCUCGACACUACCCUGGCUGGUUUUGCAAAGCGCUGCUACGGACUCCCCCGCAGCUUCCCCACCCGGACCUCCCUCCUGCCCGCCGACGAAUACGGCUUGGGCCUGGGCUCCCUCCUGCCGCAAUACGCGCGCGUGGCCCAGCGAGCCCUGGUCCUUGCCCUAAAUGACUCGAGCCGUCUUGGGAUAGUAACCCGAGCCCUUCUGCCGCGCCAGGCAAGCAUAGCUGGCCCCACACAGGCCCACCUUCUCCCAGCCCAUAGGUCACACCACCUUACGACGCUGAAACAGAUGACCCUGGCAAAAGAGUACGGUGUCACACUGUACCAAAAUGGGUCUGCCUUUACUGCGCCUACCUGGUCCAUUGCCGCUGCCCUUGAGGCAGAAGCUGAGGCCCGGGGCGUCGAACCUCUCCCCAUUGAAUACGUCCUCCCUCUUGCGGACCUGAGGCUCGAACUGAGCCACCUGGUGGACCGCAACACAGGCAAACACCUGAUUACUAGCUCGGACCUCGAGAAGCACAUGGGAGCGAGCCGGGUCCGGCACAAGCACAAGGUAGCCCUGAACAGGCUUAGCCUUGCUCUCAGUAUGGCUGCACGUGCAGGGGAAAACGCUCCAGCCCACGGCAGCCCUGCCCCCCUGACCACCGCACAGCGUGCACUGCCUGACGUGGCCGCAAUCGUGGCCUUAGCCAUGAGGGCGGACCCCCUCCCUCUCGGAAUGGCCAACCCCCUCGACCGGUACCUGCAGCCCCUCACGGAGGCGCCCCCCGUCCAAGCAAACACCACGCAAGCCCCCGCCGACCUAGCCCCCCCCUCCCCAGCAGGGGCGGCCCAGGCCCAUCCCGGCGCACAAGGUGCUGCUGCACCGGAAGUCCCCGCUGAUGGGGCAACGCAACCCUCCCUACGGCCACCGGCCAGAGCCCGCAAGCCGGCUACAACACGCCGGCCACAGAACCAAACACGCGCACGGCGCGUUACAAAACAUGCAGCGCAACGCGCACGCAUUGCAGAAACUACACGCACUACCCCUGAGGACCUACUCACCGGGGACCGCGCCGCCAUCAACCAUGCCCUGCGGCUCACCAACGGCAAUGAGAGCCUGCCGGUGGGCACGCGGGGGUACGAAACGGCAUGCUCGGUAUUCCAAGCGCUCGCCAAAGACAUGACAGGACACAUGCGGAUCUGCCACCCACACCCACAAGACCCACCCUCCCUUGCACAUGCUGUCGAACCACGCCAACAGCGCCGUGGGCUACCACCCGCCCUCACAUCCCGCCUCACGGCGAAUGCCGCCAACCCCGAACCCAACGCCAUAAGCGAGUAUCUGAACAACACAGGAUUGCCGAUGGAAGUCAACCAGGCUGCCGCUCACAACGACCCCAUGGACGCCGAUAGCCCGACGCCGCCCCUGACCGCCCCGGCAGCGCAAGCUGCGGGAGGCCACGGGGCCCGUCCCAGCUGGCGACUGGCCCGCGCCAGGAUCACACACGAUCUAGUCCCACGGCCCGCCGACAACCGCACUAACGGUGACACUCAACUCACCUACGACCUGGACAAUGACGGACAGGAACUGGCACAGGUCCUGCACAGCGAAAACAAACAAACUGUCACGGACAAAGAACUGACACGGAAGCGCAAGGCCAGAGAGGACACCUCUGGGACACGUGAAAAAUACUGGAAGGUGCAGUGGAAGCCGUCCAUUUGCCCUGCCGGCAUUGUCUCUGCUUUUGUUCGCAUGGGCUACGCAACUAUCCAGAACGCCAGGUGCUACAAGCACCCUCUUGCGACGCGCCCAGGCCCACAACCUGCGCAGACCGAGGCUGAGCCUCCGGCUGAAACCCAAGCCCACGCAAUCUCACCUGAAGAGCCUGCCCAAGCUGCAGAGCCGGCAGCACCGCAGCCCACUGGGGCCCCCCUAUUCUCGUCCUGGACGACCAAACUCCUGCGACAUGUCACGUGGGCGCCGAGCACGGACCGUGAACGGGACCUAAAGCACAGUCCACAAUGGGAGGAGUUACUGGAGGAGUGCAAAACCCGGCUAGCAAACGGUACCAACCAAGGCCCGCGGCCCCGAACAGUGCGCCCCGCACCUGAUCGGAACCUUACCGCCAGACAGCGCCAAGGCCGCCACGACGCCGAGCCCCUGCAUACCGCAUCCCGCGCGCGUGACAUCCGCACGACCACCACCAUCACCACAAGCCCGUGCAACCCCUACAAGGACAUCGUGGCCCCCGGAGCAUACACAAUUACCACCACUGGUGGCACCCGCCGUGACCCAGCUGAGGCACACGUCCAUGAACCCAGUGGCCGCUGGCUGGGCACCAUCACCUACCCCCGCCUCCUUACCCUGUGGGAGCGCUUCAGGCACACCGGCAACCAGCGGCCCAACGCCUUUGAGGAAGCGGUCGCUGCCCUCAUCAUGCGCUACCGCUAUGACCCGGCGCAGCAGGACCGCAAGGCCAUGCCAAUGCACCAGGUGUCGCUGCCGGCAGGCACAGUAGCAGCCAUCGUCCAAUGCCUGCGGGUCACACAAGCAGUACACAUUCGGGAAAUGUUUGCGUCCCCACUAAACUCCUCCACUGCAGCCCACGAAUACUGGACACGAGACCCUGCUGAUGGGGCCUUUGGCGCACUGCACGAUGCCUACCAGACCGCAUGGACCGGCUUGCAAUAUGCCCACCCCCCCUCUACCCCCCACGAUGCACGGAAGGCGCUCAUGUGGGCCCUCGCAUGCGCCGAGGCUAUGCGUGACUCACAGGAACCAACCCUUACUGUAUUGGUGCUCCCCAAAGCGGCCACUUUCCCCCACACGCAGUGGCUUCAACACCCACUUUGCCACGAGCUGGCCAACUGGUCCGCGGGCACCGCGGGCCUUGACACAGGACUUGGCACCAACACCCAGGCUGAACGCCAGAAGGGGCUCCGACUGGUCAUUGUUGGGAACCCCGCCGGACUCCAGUGCUUUGCCCCCCGCCUGAAACGGCUCGUGGACACACUGAAAUAAUAAUAAUAAUAAUUACAACGCCGGCCCAUAGGGCCUGGCAUGGAUUAACGGGGCAAGGUGACUAGGGCGAGAGGGCCCGCCCCCCUCACGCUGACGCCUCACCACGAAAGAGUCACAACCUCCGAAACUACAACCUCCAAGUCCUAGGCCGCUCUUCAAAGUCCACUACAUCCAAGCCUGCACACCUAGCAUAUCGAGCUAGGGAAACGCCGCGUUAUAGUAGUGGAGCACUGCCAGUUCGUGCAAACCGAGGAGCCAUGGCGCUCCUCCUCGAGCCUUGGAUCUUGAGCCUUGUCUUGAACCUUGGACCUCGCCACUAAAUCGGACUUCUGCACCACGACCUUUCUAGGUUGCAGCGGGCACAAGCCCGCAAUUGCCACUAAGGGCAAUUACCUAUCGUUCGUGGGAUCACCAAUCGGUUUCGCACCAAUCUUUCGCCUUUUGCAUAAUUGGGCUUUUAUCCGGAUUCGUACCCGGGUCCCUUCUGCCGUAAGGACGAGUCAAAUCGCUAACCAGCUAGGCCGGGGGCCUGAUUGUGCACACCCUCCUCCUCUGGGCGCGAGGCGGGGGAGGGGGUGGGUGUGGGAUGCCCCGCGGCACGUAUGGUCAAGGUGUUGGGAUAGGGAGGACGCAGGCCGGCGACGAGGUUUGCUGCAUGUAUACUGCCGCCAUGCAGCAGCCAAGACCUUCGUUGAAGGGCGGCGUGCAUGUGUGUGUGUGUGUGUGUGUGUGUGUGUGUGCGUGUGUGUGUAAUGCACGGUAUGUGCGUGUUCGUGUGUGUGUGUGUGCCUGAAAGGUUUGUCAGCCGUACAGGCAUUGAUUGGUGCAAAGUAAGCAAGGAGUGUUCACCAGUGCCAUCACCAACAAAACUGAUUAACGGGCUGUGUCAUGAUGGUUUGCAAGUCAAGAGCGCUCAUAUCUUACGAAGGCAGGGGCGGCGUCAGUGGCCGAAUUCCUUAAAAUAGCUUGGUUUAGUUGACGAAACAGGCUGCCGCUGCUUCACGCCCCUGACUCGUACUCCUUGCUGCGUUCCGCCGACGUAACCUGACUCUCCCGUCAGGGGAAUCCCUGUCUCCCGCCGUCCACACUCAACAUGCAUAGAUACAGCCGUUUGAGCCUUCUUACGAUAUGCCACCAAUUCUAGCGCGCGACCAAGGCAAAUGUAACGACCGCCCCCAACAUCAUUAGCGCUUCUAUGGUGGUGUCCAUUCGUGAGGCAGACUCUGAACACACGCAACAGUGCAACAACAACAGCUAUAACAAACCACCUCAGCGCUUGUGAUGAUCUGUGGUCAACAGCCGUCAUUGAUGUGUGAGGCCUACGUCUCCCUUGUUGCAAGUCGUGGUGCAGAUGCAAGCAGAGCUGGCCUGGCUUAGGGCACGUGCGCUAGUACCCACGCAAGCUGAUACGGGAGCACGUUGAUCACGUCGGGUGGUGCGCCAUGGCGAGAGUGCAUCAUGUGCAGCAGAGCAGCAUGCAGGCGCCGCCAUUCAUCUACGGAAACGGGCGCGUGCCAGGCCUCCCACAGGUGCACGACUUCGAAUCCGUGGCCGUACACGCUCCACGCCACGUCAGACGUGUUGGUGAUGGUGGGAGGACCAGGAGUGGGUGCAAGUGCAUUGCCGGGCGCGGUGGGAGUGGUUGGCUGGAGAACGUUGAAUGCUGCAACGGCCAUGCCGUCGGGCGUGGCGCGCAGGACGCGCAGGGUUGGCAGGUUGCAGGCCCAGAGUGCGAAAUUCGCGGCACUGGAGAAACUGGAGGGAGCGUCAGGUGGGCCCAGGAGAAUGGCACCGGUCCAUGCGCCGGUAGACUGCACUUGUUGGUGCCCCUGCGUAGGGUGGGGGAUGGCGGAUUGGAGUGGAGGUGUGGGCGUGCAGUGGAAGGCAUGGGGCCGCAGCAGGUUUUGGAUGCGGCAGGUAGAGGGCGGGAGGUACGGUGGACACCUAGACUCCUAGGCACGACGCUGCUGCCGUGCGAGCCCCUGCCGCACCCGGACACGUGCCCGCACCUGCUGUAGGAGUAGGUCGUAUGCCCAUUGCAUAGCGUGUUCGCUGCCGGCCAUGGCGAUGGCGUCAAGGUCGAUGCGAGCGCCACGGUCAUGGAGGAGCUGCAGGAUGGGCAGGGGUGCGCCAUUGCGGGCCGCGGAGGUGAAAGCCGAGUUGUAUGCCCAGGUGUCCUGCGGAUGGGCAGGCGGUACGGCUGCAGCCACCAUGGCAACUGUGUCCCAGGAGGAGAUCUGUGCAACCAUGUGCAAGUCGUGCGCUGUUAUGCUGAAACCGCGGCGUAGGAAUGCUUCUGCUUGUGGGCGGUUGUCUCUAAGCCGGAUGACGCCCUCGUCGCGGGUCGAGGAGAAGAGCGUACAGCCUGCGUUGCAGUGGCGCGCGGCCAUUUCGCCCAUGUGGAGGACUGUGUCUGCAGCUUCGUCAGGGGUGCCAUGCUGUAGAAGCAGGCGGUUGCGUAGGUCCUGCGGCACAGCCACGCCGGCUGCGGCCAGCGUUGCUAGGACCGCGGGAAUGUUUCUGAGGUUCGGGUCGCGCAGGAACGUGUCAGAGCUCAGGAGGUCUGUUGCAACAGCCUGCCAGCCUUGCGGUGCGCGCAGCAGCAGCAGCUGGAUGCUGUCUGUGUUGGGCACAGGCAGUUGAGACGCCGCGAGUGUGAUGCUGCGGCAGACGCGCAGCACGACUGACGGAUCGGGUGGCUGAGGUGCUGGUGGCUGCGGCAAGGCUUCUUGAAUGGCUGGCUGUUGUGGUGGUGGCGCAGGCGCUGCUGGCGGAGCCACGGCUGGGAAGGCAGGUGGCUGUUGUGCUGCCGGCGCGUCCACCGCGGGCGGUUCUGCUGCUGGGUCCGCAGGCAGUGGCAGCGGCAAGCUGUGCGGCCACUCAGGAAUGUAGGUGGUGAGCACGUGGUUCAGGAACUGGGUGGAGCAGCCUGCUGCGAUGCCGUCCAUGAUUUUGGCUCGCCAGUACGCGCCGUACCAGCUGUACGGCGGGGCAUGCUGCAGGGCGCGCUCGACUAGGGCUGUGUGUCCGCGUGCAGCCGCUGCCUUGAUGCUGCUUGCUGGAAGGGUGUGCCAGGCGUCGUGCUGUGCGAAUCGGGCGUUAAGGAAGUCUAGCACACUGCUGUGGCCGCCGAUGCAAGCGCCCUGUUGCGUGCUGGUGUACAGCUCUUGCCAGUCUUGAGGGUCUGCGUGUGCUACCGUGUCGAAGAGGAGCGUGAGGACAUCAAGGUGCCCGGCGCUGCCGGCGGCCACGAAUGCUGAGCAGGUGAGCGCGCAGCCGUGGCUGAUGAGCUGUUGGCAGAGGUGCAGCAAGCCAGCCUGCGCGGCGGAUGCCAGUACCUCUGUGUUCAUUGCAACGCCGCUGUACUGGAUUGCUGCAGUGGCGCUGGCUGCGUGCCCUGACGCCGCUGCGAGGCAUGCGAGCCGGCGUCGUUGCGGCAGGGACAGGUGGGCCCAGGCGGCUGCGGUGGCGAAGUUCUCCUGGAAUGCGCGGCCGGGCCAGCCCGGUGGUGGCACGUGCGUGUCAAGCCGCCGAGGUCGCAAGUAUCCAGGGUACGUGUGCGGGCCGGCGAGAAACACGCGGCGGUGCUGAGGCGCGGAAAGGCUGUUGCGCAGGAAGCGCGAGGUGCGCCGGAGCGCAGUGGCCCCAUCAGCGGUGUUAAGGAAGGUUGCGAUAUGGAGCCAAAGGUCGGCGGGCAGGUUCUGCCAGUCCGGGGCCAUGUCGGUGCUAAAGUUGAGGCGCGUGCAACUAGAGUGCCGGAUUUGACUAGGCGCUGGAUAUAGCGGGCGUGAUGUUGGAUAUGUACUGUUAUAUUUGGUUUCAGCCUUUGUGUUCAGCGUAGGCGUGAGUGUGAUCGAGAUGAUGGGCGACUCGCGGAUUGCCGGUCGCAAAGGUUGCCGGAUGGUUUAAUUAUAUAGACCUUGUGGUUUCCUUAUAUAGACUUGGAAGCCUCGUGGUUUAUUUAUAUGAGGAAUGAGUCGGGUUCGGUGCGAGGCCGAUUUGGAGAGCGCGCGCAAGAAGCCGCGGCAGGACGCGAAUGAUGUGCUGAUCGUCCCGUUCGGGCCGAUGUCUGUGGAGGCAGGCGAGGCGGCUCAAGCGCAGCGGUAGGUAACAGCGCCGGGAAUCGGAUAAGCCUGGCGGCUCAGCGCUCGGGCGCGCGAUGAAGCUGGGCAGUGGCUUUUUUGCGGGUGCUGACAGCAGGGAUGUGGAUGGGUGCAUGGCAAAGGCGGAGCGGCAACGUUGGAAGGCGUUUAAGUGAUUGCGUGGGAAUGUGCUGCGCUCGCCGCUGCAAAUGCAGAUCGGAGCGCGCCAAGGCCGACGCACAGCUGGGCGCCAACAUGCUGCUGCCGCCGUAUCAGGGCCGGCUGGUGGUCGGGAGCACGGGCGUGAUCGCGCGCACGAUGGCGCAUCUGCGCGCGCGGUACGCCUUUGUUCCGAUCCCGGGCCAGACCAAGCUUCGCAAGGUGUACGCGUGCGAGACUCCGGCCUGCAACGCUCGUAUGGAGUGGGUUGCCAAGGAUGCUACCGCCAAGGCCUGGCUCGUUUCGCAUAGCCCGCACAGCCAUGCGGCAGCCGCGCCGACGCCUACGGCGACACCCGGCCAGCUGACAAGGUGUGUUUGAUGGAGUGGGACCACGCGUGUUGGUGUGCGCGUGUGCGUGCGGGGUGGGGGUGGGGGUAGGGGUAGGGGGGUAGGCGGAAUCGGGGCCAGGCAAGCGGGCGAGGGGUACAGGAGCUCGCAGUGGGCGCGAGGUACAUAGGACCGCACAGGGGUGCUUUGUGGGGCGCUGUUUUGAGCGGGCCUUUGCGCACGUAUUGUGUAUAUACAGGCAAGCGCUGCGCAACAAGAACUUCUGCAUCGCCAAGACUUGGGUGGAGACGUUCAAGCGUACACUGGUCGCCGCUUAGCUGAGCAGGUGCAGUAGCGGGAUUUCUCAGCACAGCAACGGCAGGGCACCAGCGUACUGAGAUCGGACAGGUCUGCUGCGCGUGCGGCAUGACUCCCCCGGUGCGGGGGAUUCAGGCGAAGCGCUGGCCGCUUGCGGCAGGCGUGGCUGCCGACGCUGUCGUCGGCAGCACCAGGCUCUGCAUCGCCCCCGUUGUGUGGGGCCCGCAUCCUGGGUAGUGCAGCGUUGGCAGGGGGGUAGUUGCGCGGGAGUAGUUGCUUGUGGGAAGUGGAGGGAGGUGCAUGCGCAAGAUCUGUUGCAGCAGUGGCAUGAUUCCCCCGGUGCGGGGGACGUAGUCAUUGUUUGCAGCAGCAGGCUCUGCGCUGCUCCCGUUGUGUGGGGCUUGCAUCCUGGGGAGUGGGGUGUAGGCGUGGGCAUGGGUGGGCGCCUUGCAUGGGUGAUUCACACUGACCAUUGUGCCUGCAAUUGUGUGUUCUGUGCAUGGAGGCGCGAGGAGGGUGCUGCGUCAGCGGAAGCUGCGCAGGAGCUGCUUGUGCAAGGCGUGGCCAGCAGCAUCGGGUGGGUUCGCUUGUAUGUGCGGCUGUGGGCAGGGCAGGCAGGGACAGUGCAUGCCAACUGCUGCAAGGCACUCUGCUGACGCUGUGCACAUGUUUGGAUACCCGCAUGGUUGCAGGGAGGGGCAGUGGUGCAAGCUGCGCCCGGAUCUGGACGCGCUCGGCGUGAAGCUCGACGCCAACGGCAUCGUCACGCACCUCAAGUACGCCCUCGCGCCGCCCAAGCCGCCCAGCGCACACCUCGUGGAGGUGAUGCAGGCUGGUGCCAUCCGCGACAUCCUGAUGGGCAUGGGCUGGGCCGCGCUGCCGGAGCAGCAGUAGUGCGCAGCACGCAGGAGUGGACACACGAGCGGCUGGCUGCAGCACAGCAACGCAUGCAUGAUUACGACCUAGGCGGGCAGUACGCCGCACAGGCACUCGCGCAGGCGCAGGGAGCAGUGCAGCAGCAGCUGCUGCUUUACAACAGCGGCACUGCAGCAGUGACAGCGAAGCUGGUGCUCAUCUCGCCAUUGGCGGUUACCACAGCCGCCCCAGAGGUGCAGGGCGUCUGGCCCGAUGCAGCGAACCCUGGUGCAGAGCCGCCGUACGUGCUUUGCCCGGAGGACUCGCAGCCGACGCCUGAAGACACAGCGCGGUUAUGGAACCUCAGCGAUGACCAGCAGCAGGCGUUCAUGCUGUACGCGCAGCUCCUGCUAGCAGAGGCCGCCGGCGUCCGUCAGCCCCCCGUGUGCUCGGUGCUCACGGGCAAAGCCGGCAGCGGCAAGUCGCGGGUGCUGCAGGCAUUGCUGUGGUUUGCAUAUCAGCACCGCUGCGAGUCUCUCAUUGCCCUCGUGAGCUACACGUGGCGCGCUGCGCUGCAUGUGAGUUGUGUGUGGGGUGUGUGGGGUGUGUGGUGCAAGAGGGGUUCAGUUCGGAGGUGAAGUGUGGCGGUGGUGGACUGGUUUAGCAGCCAGGGAGCCUUACAUGAUCAUGCUGUUGACUUCGGCCGCUGCCAUCACGGUCCAUUUACAGGACUCUACGCCAGGCGUGCUCGGCACCAGCACCACGUCCUUCUUUGCGACUGCUGGCACCUUUGGUCCGCCUCACCGCGAUCGAGUCGAGCGCAACCUCAAUGGUGUGCGCUUCAUUUUCCUAGAUGAGUUUAGCACGUGUGGGCUGUCCCACUGGGCGCGCAUUUGCAUGCAUGUGCACGCGGCACGGAGGCACGUGGGUAUAGACAGCACGCACCUAUAUCACGGGCCGCUGUCAGAUCUGCAUGGCCUGCUUGUUGGCGACUUGCGUCAGUUGCCACAGCCACGGCACGUGCCGCUAUAUAGCGGUGCUGCGGAGGAGAGCUUGCGGCAGCUGCUGGCGCCGGGCGCGGGGGACGGCGGGGCCAUGGAGCGCCAGAUCCGGCAGCUGGAGCAUCCGGAGGGCAGCAUGAACCUCAUGGGGCGGGAGCUGUGGAAUAUGGUGCCGUUCGCGUUCGUUCUCACUCACCAGCAUCGGCAGCAAGCAGGCGUAGGUGACAACAACGAACCUCUCUUCAUGCUAGCGGAGAAGUUUGGUGGCGUGCAGGAAAUCUCUCAGGCAGAUCUGGAUACAGCGUGCCAGCAGCUCAACGCGCGUGUUUGGCAGCCCCCGAAGCCAGGGAUUGACCCCGUGCCCCAGCCCUUUGCAGUUGUCCAGCGCCAUGUUGUGCGGGUUCCACUGGCAUUGCAGCUCGUGCAGCUGCAUGCGCUCGCGCAGCGUCAGCAGCUGCUGCUAUGGCGUAGCGCGGACUUGUCGCCGGACGGGAGCAGCUUACCUAUUUCGCAUGUGCAUCAAUUAGAGGCGCUUGGCGGGGCCGAGGAUGAUAGCGGUGUGCCCGCUGUGUGCGCAUUCUUUGCUGGCAUUCGUUACGUGUUUACAUCAAAUGAGCAUGUGCGUCUGUAUCACAUCAACAACAACAGUGCCACAGGCACCGGCAUUGUUCUGCAUCCCAACGAGCCACCAUUGCCAGAUGCAAGCAUUGCCCCCGUGCAUGUCCUCAAGUUCGUGCCCUCGGCUGUAAUGGUGCGCCCCGACGGGCCUGAUGCGGGUCGGGUGUCUGUCGAUCAGGCCCUGGAUGUCGGGGAGAUUCCUGUUUUACCGUGCAGUGCUAUGUUCACAUCGCAGCAUGCAACCCUGCGGUUGCCUGUGAUGCGCUGGGGCUUUCGUGUGGAGCUUGCGUAUGCAGUCACCGAUUACUUUGCGCAGGGGCAAACUCUGCCAGCGCACGAACUGUGGCUGGUGGAUAUGUGCAAACCGCAGCACGGCAGUUGGCGGCGGGCUUCAAUUUACGUAAUGCUCACCAGGUUUCGUGGGUUGCAUGCCUUACAUUUAGUGCGUCCGCUGUGGGCCUCGCGGGCCGAAGAGCGCCGGCUUAAAAAGGCGCUGCGUACCAUGCUAACGCCCGAGGCAGAUCUAGCCGCGGAAUGGCAGCGGCUAUUGAGGCUCUCGCAGAGCACAGCAGUAGCAGUGCCAGGUAUGAUUGUGCGCAUUCAGGCCAGCAUGGCUGCCUCAUAACCAAGGCUUUCAAUGCAUGCAGUAGUGUUUUUAACAUGCGCGAGGUGUACUGACAGAUGACCUGGAAGCGUGGAGUACCUUGUGGGUGGUGAGUGCUGACUGCAAUUUACAGCAGUGACUUUCUUGUUGGUGUUUGGUGUGGUGACCAUCAUGCUUGGCUUCGCUGGCUGGACGUAUGUCACUGAGCUACGUUCGGGUUUAGUUUCUACCUGUCCUGUCUCUGCGUGAAGCCGGGGUAUUGUUUAUCUGCUUGCUUGUCGUGCGUUGGAUUGUUGUGUGUUUACAACAGGUUGAUGUGUGGCGUGGUUAAUCCCUUGCACUUUGAGGAGGUUAUUGUUAGCCAGCUGGUGUUCGCACAGGAGGUUGGUGGUCGAUGAACAGUCGACCGACAGAUGGAUCGCGGGAUUUGUUUUUGGCAUUUACCGCUUGGAUUCUAUUCGCAACGUAGCUCGGAAUACACGCUUAAUAUGCAUAGUUAGAAGACUUCGGGGACGCAAAUCGCUCGGAAAUGGAGGAGGGUCUCAAUAUGCUCGGCUCGCGAUGUCGCGCUCUUGAGCUUGUAUUAUGCACUGUGCGCAAUGCGCGUUCAGCAUGCAUAUUCUUACGAACAACUAGGGACUUGAGUGACGCGGUGUGAAAAUCAGUCGGGGUCUCGACAUGCUUGGCUCGCCAUUUCGCGCUCCCGAGCUCGUUGUGUGUGUUCCGAACAAUGCACGCUCAGAAUUACAUGUUCAAUAUGUCCGUCGCGAUGUUCGAGCUUGAAAACCGACAAGCAUGGUGUAUAGAUACACCUGGUAGCCUGAAUUCCUGUGUUUUUGGUGUAUUUUGUUGAUGUUGCAUCACGCCGUGCCUUGUCACAUUCAUGUUUUUUGUACCGGCGUGGCCUUGUUUGUAAAUUUCGCGGCGCCCUGAUCUUAUCUACUUCUUCGCUGUGAUCUGGCAAAAAAAACUGUUCUUGACGGGAUUCGAACCUGUGACAGCAUCUCACUAAGCGCCAUAAUCAGACCCUCCAGAGGAGGGUGUGCACUGAGUUAGCGAUCCGGUGAUGUCGUGGACACACUGAAACGGGGGGCGAACGCACCCACGCACAUCAGCGACCCGCGCACGUGGACACACACGGCCACGGCCCCAACCUGCCCGGCCCUCCCAAACUCAUUUCUAAAGCAAGCCAAAUACCAGCACGCUAACCCAAAGACGAUACACGCCAUGGCUGACGAAGCACGACGCUUUCCUAACGCGCGAUUCCAGACCCACCAUGCUCUGGCCCACGACGUGAAUGGCACUGUCUGGACAGAUGGUUCGGUAAGCAAAAUCAAAACUGACAAUGGCAAAGAAGUCCAGGUUGCCGGCGCCUGCGCCUGGUUCAGCGAUUCUCGCGUUGUCUACGUGAAUCCAAAUGGCGAUGGGUGCACAAACACUAUUACGAGAGCUGAACUGGCAGCAAUUCGUGCUGCCCUCGCAGAAUUUGGUGGCGAAGGUAAAGAAUUUGCAACUAAGAAGCUCACUAUUGCAUCAGAUUCUGUUGCAAGCUUGUACCUAAUCAAACGAGCAAUUAACGAGCCUCGGCGACUGCAUCUGAGUAAGCACCGUGACCUCCUGGAUUCAAUCAUGGCAUUGCUCCAUGCACGCCACGCUCGGGGAGCACCCACCGCUCUGAUUAAAGUGAUCUCGCACACCGGGCUACACGGCAACGAGGAAGCCGAUAAAGGGGCGGCUGCCGUCGCCACCCAGGAAAAACCCGCCGAUGUAUCCGAACCGGCCGACAACGACCCGCUCGCCCGGCACUGGUGGCCGACCUUCACGGUCACCAGGGACGACGAUAGCACAGCCACGCACUACGUGUCGGACCUAAACCGGGGCCUCACCAGGGCAAUGGCCCCCAGCUGCCGUGGUGGAUACGCCAACAAAACCCUGUACACUGAGAAAUGGGCCGAGGCAGCACCCAGCCUUGACCCACGCGCCAGUAACGCGUACAUGACGAACUCGGACGCCAGCCACGGCCUACGCCGGUUCAUACAGAAUGCUCGUCAGGGAGGCCUCAUCUGCCCGGCCCGGCUGGCUUUGUUUAAACUACGAGACAGCGACAAAUGUGGUCUCUGUGCCCACACCCAGCGCAGCCGCGGAUCUGACCCAGAGCGUGGCACCGCAGGUCACAUUGCCGGCCACUGCGCGCACCCCCAACUCGUUGGCGCUAGGAUAGCCAAACACAACACUGCAGUGCGGACGAUUGCCGAAUGCCUACACCAUGGUCACAACGGUGGUGGCUACAUGAUAAUGGAUGCCACCUCCCGAGCUGAACUGCCUGAGUACUGUGCGGGCAUGCGGCCGCCGUCAUGGCUCUGCCCGCAAGUGCCCGCUGCAGACCUCAACAGGAUGCGGCCUGACAUUCUGUUUAUCCCGAACCUUCCCCGGUCCGAAGCAGAACGCUUCAUGACAUCCCCACCAGCCAACAAAGGGGCCUACCCAGUGUACGUCCUUGAAGUUGGAUACACCUCUGACCUGCACCACAGCGAGAAGCUCAUUCAAAAACAAGCACAGCACGCCACCCUUGCCACUGCCAUGCGAGCUGCAGGGUGGACUGUGCACUACGAUACUAAACACGUUAUUACACUGGGCCACGGUGGCACUGUCCCCCGUACCCUUGAAACCCUCCUCAAAGACCUAGGAGCCAAACCGCAGGCAGCCAAGGCCUGCUGCACACGUCUCCACAUGCAUAGCGUCACCACACUCCGGGGCACCGCAAACCUGUACUACCGGCUAGAGCGAGAGAUGGGCAUUGCCAACACCCGAUGCCGCCCGGGAGGCCGCACCCAGGGGACCGCCAAUGGCGGCCCCCGCGCAGGGGAGCCGGGGUAGGGAAAUCAAGUUUUCCGAUGGUGGGGUGAGCUUGUCUCACUCCUCCUUAAGACACGCGGGCACCUGUGCCCUGCGUAGAUAUUAUUAUUAUUAUUGCCCUGUGGGCUUGACACCAUCCAGCCGCGGGAAAGGGCGCGAGCAUGGUGGGCCGUAACCUGAUUGUGACGCCAUAGCAGCUGUAGCCAGCUCCAUGCCCUGCGGGCUUGACACCAUCCAGCCACGGGAAAGGGCGCGAGCACGGCGGGCCUUAACCUGAUUGCGAUGCCAUAGCAACUGUAGCCAGCUCCAUGCCCUGCGGGCUUGACACCAUCCAGCCACGGGAAAGGGCGCGAGCACGGCGGGCCUUAACCUGAUUGUGAUGCCAUAGCAACUGUAGCCAGCUCCAUGCCCUGCGGGCUUGACACCAUCCAGCCGCGGGAAAGGGCGCGAGCACGGCGGGCAUUGAGACUGACCGUGCGCCAUCAGCUCGCAGCCCAACCUGCAACCUUGACACCACGAAAACGGGCCCAUGCACGGCGGACCUGGAGCUAAUGUACGCCAUUGCGCCUGGCUCAGCGACCUGCGGGCGUCAAGCGGCGCGAAUGUUGACUUGUGGACCCACACAUUCUGUCCACAAAACAAACUCCUGGCAUUGUCUCAGUGCAAUGCACAUGUUACCCGAGCCAGCAAUCACAUGGUACUACGCCGGGCCCUUUGCAGACUGGAAAAGCCCCGGUCAAUGCGCGGUUGCCUUUGUUUACCGGUGAGCUUGUUAUGCCAGCUCGUUAUCAUGAGCCAGCUUCAUUACUACAUUCAUGUUUUGCAUUGUUUUGAUACUGUCGCUGCAUAUAGUCGACAAGUAAGGCAUCCACCGCUCAAGCACAGUCGUCCCAGAAUAAGAGCGACGCGAAUAAUGGUUGGUUCAUUGUAUAGCUUGCUGUAGUUUAUGUAUUAUAGAGGCAUAUGCGUGAACGCAGACUGCAGAGAAAUGAAGUGAACUCCUGAAAUGCCCCAUGCCGCCGACAUUGCAUGGCAAGCCAGCAGGGCCCCGGGCAAUGUUGUGUUUUGUACUGGGAAAGAUGUCAGCUUCUAACUUAGUGUACUAGGAAGGAUGUAAGAUGGAGACAACGGCCUCAACCCGGUGAUGUAAAGUACUCUGCACUCCUGGACGGCUUUGGGUGUUGGGGUUGAUUGAUUUAUAUAGGCAUUAGUCAAUAUGCUUUGUGGCCAAGUUCAAAUACACAACUCGACGAGUUGACGAACAUGGGUUUGCGUCCCCCGGCCGGGGGACGCGCGACCACUUUCCCUAAGACUCCCGAAAAGCCCAAACUUCUGCGACAAGUACUCUGAGUGCAUAACAGACUAUUGAUAUCAACCGCUAAAGCCAUGCACCAGUGACAGCAGUGACCGGGGGGGUUCAUUGCUGCCUCGGUCGACACAACCAGCUGCUCAGCUGCAUUCCUAUGCUCAGGAAGCAUACACUACAUGCAACUACAUUACUAAAGUAAGUUUACAGCUCAGGAAGCGCGGCGGUCUCAGCUUGGCCGUCAGCGACUGCCUGAGUUUACUGGGGGGUUCAGGGGCGCGGCAGGUGCGAGGUUGCCCCAAGGAUCCCACAGGCCUCGCCCCAGACUUCUCGCCCCUAUGUUCCCAACGUGGUCUGCUAGCCUAACACCCCCAGCCGCCAUGGCUAAAGGCACGGCCGCGGCCAGAGCUGCACGCGUCUACUUUGGGGGCAGGCCCUGGCCAGGCUGGGUGGGCCUGGGUGGCAGCUGGGCGAGCCUGGGCGGCAGCUGGGCGGCCCUGGGCGGCAGCUGGGCGGGCCUGGGCGGCAGCUGGGCGGGGGCUGAGCGAGCCUGGGCAGAGCCUGGACAAGGGCCUGGACAAGGGCUGGAAAGGAGCCAAAUACCAAUGGGUUACCGGGAAGUGACCAUUUUACCAACGUUAACCGAUGUUUUACCGUGUGGCCAACCCCUACCAAUCGAAACCGAUGCUGACUGACGCUGACCAUUGGUUUAUCAGGGUGACCGCCCGGUUACCGCCCCCAUACCGAUCGGUUUAAUAGGGGCUGGAACGGUAGGGUCACUCUAGCCGGUAGUACAGGUUUGCGGUGCCCCGGAGUGUGGUGACGCUAUGCAUGUGGAGACGUGUGCAGCAGGCCUUGGCUGCCUGCGGUUUGGCUCCUAGGUCUUUGAGGAGAGUUUCAAGGGUACGGGGGACAGUGCCACCGUGGCCCAGUGUAAUAACGUGUUUAGUAUCGUAGUGCACAGUCCACCCUGCAGCUCGCAUGGCAGUGGCAAGGGUGGCGUGCUGUGCUUGUUUUUGAAUGAGCUUCUCGCUGUGGUGCAGGUCAGAGGUGUAUCCAACUUCAAGGAUGUACACUGGGUAGGCCCCUUUGUUGGCUGGUGGGGAUGUCAUGAAGCAUUCUGCUUCGGACCGGGGAAGGUUCGGGAUAAACAGGAUGUCAGGCCGCAUCCUGUUGAGGUCUGCAGCGGGCACUUGCGGGCAGAGCCAGGACGGCGGCCGCAUGCCCGCACAGUACUCAGGCAGUUCAGCUCGGGAGGUGGCAUCCAUUAUCAUGUAGCCACCACCGUUGUGACCAUGGUGUAGGCAUUCGGCAAUCGUCCGCACUGCAGUGUUGUGUUUGGCUAUCCUAGCGCCAACGAGUUGGGGGUGCGCGCAGUGGCCAGCAAGGUGACCUGCGGUGCCACGCUCUGGGUCAGAUCCGCGGCUGCGCUGGGUGUGGGCACAGAGACCACAUUUGUCGCUGUCGCGUAGUUUAAACAAAGCCAGCUGGGCCGGGCAGAUGAGGCCUCCCUGACGAGCAUUCUGUAUGAACCGGCGUAGGCCGUGGCUGGCGUCCGAAUUCGUCAUGUACGCAUUACUGGCGCGUGGGUCAAGGCUGGGUGCUGCCUCGGCCCAUUUCUCAGUGUACAGAGUUUUGUUGGCGUGUCCACCACGGCAGCUGGGGGCCAUUGCCCUGGUGAGGCCCCGGUUUAGGUCCGACACGUAGUGCGUGGCUGUGCUGUCGUCGUCCCUGGUGACCGUGAAGGUCGGCCACCAGUGCCGGGCGUGCGGGUCGUUGUUGGCCGGUUCGGAUACAUCGGCGGGUUUUUCCUGGGUGGCGACGGCAGCCGCCCCUUUAUCGGCUUCCUCGUUGCCGUGUAGCCUGGUGUGCGAGAUCACUUUAAUCAGAGCGGUGGGUGCGCCCCGGGCGUGGCGUGCAUGGAGCAAUGCCACGAUUGAAUCCAGGAGGUCCCGAUGUUUACUCAGAUGCAGUCGCCGAGGCUCGUUAAUUGCUCGUUUGAUUAGGUACAAGGCAAGGGCAUUCGUCCACGAAUGACCACGGGGUGCGGGGGGUUGGGGGAUGGCUCCUGCCCCUCUCAGGACUAAAAUGCCCGAGUAGCUGUGAACAGCGGUGUGAACUUUCCUGCCACAGGAACAUACCAUACUUCCCUGCAGAUCUACUUGGGCCACACACAGGGGAGUGUGUAGGUGAAUCCCAAGACCUUUGUAAUGUGUGAUGUAACAGUGUUUCACAGCCUUGGGCCCCAGCUCCUACAGACUACUACAACUAUUACCAGCCAACACUAUCAACAAGCAGUUGCCCAGACACUAUUUGCACGUCAACCCCCAUCAAACAAGGGCACCACAAGUCCUGCUUUACUAUCUGCUAGCUCUACUUCAAAAGCUUUUAUAUGCUUGAUGGGAGAACAUUUCGCUUGAGUACCAUGUAUGGCCCCUGACACAGUAAUUCACCAGGCAUCUGACGAACCUGACACUUUCCACAACAGCAAUACACUUUCCACAACAGCAAUACGACAGCUCCUUUGAUACAAGACAUUUGUCUCUAUCUCACAGUAGUUCUUAUGCUCAGGGCUGCGUUAGCUGAAUGAGGGUGUUCGGGCCCCCUUCAACUACUCUCCCACUUGUAUCCCUUGUUGCCCCCUGCUACCCCUGCCCUGUUACUCUAGUUACCCCCCAAUCCCCUCACCCGCCCCCUCACAUGUCCCCUCAAAUGUCCCCUCACAUGUCAAGUGAUAGCUUCCGCCCUUGACUUGUAAUCCUUCACUCAGCACCCUCAAGGUCCUCCCCUACAUUGCAAGCAGGCCUCUUGCACCAACCAAUUUACACCAGCCUUGACUACCUUCACAUCGAGCCUGGUGUCAACCCCACUGAUCCCAAACUUAUUCUACUUAUUCCCCACCAACACCACGCCUCCUGGGUAAUCCACCUAAAGAGCCGCCGCAGGUCCUGCAGCCACAUACAGCAGUUAUUGCAUGCACACAGCACAGAACCAAGCCAUUCAUGCCCACCCGGCCCCGCCGCCCAGCCCGCCACCUGCCUAGCGGUGCAAGCCCGGGUCGCAGCCUCAGGACAUUCAGUGGCAUGCCUGGGUGCGUGUGGCGGAGUGCCACGACACGGCGGCACCCAGGUAGCAUCGCAGGUGGUGAUACGGUUCGUGCCGUCCGCCCCCAGCCCACACCCCCACCCACCCGCCCCGCCAUGGCGCCCACACGCCUGCGCAACCUGCCUUGACGGUGCAAGCCCACGCAGCAGCCUCAAGACAAUCAUUGGAAUGCCUGGGUGCCUGUGGCGGUGUGCCCCGACACGGCGGCACCCAGGUAGCAUCGCAGGUGGUGAUACGGUUCGUGCAGACCGCCCCCCAGCCCCCAGCCCCACCCAGCCGCCUCGCCAUGGCGCCCACACGCCUGCGCAACCUGCCUUGACGGUGCAAGCCCACGCAGCAGCCUCAGGAAAUCAAGCGGCAUGCCUGGGAGCCUGUGGCGGCUUGCCCCGACUCGGGUGCGCCAAGGUAGCAUCUCAUGGUGACACGGUUGGUGCUGUCCGCCCCCAGCCCCCACCCCCACCCAGCCCCGCCGCCUGCCACCUGCCUUGCGGUGCAAGCCCGGGUCGCAGCCUCAGGACAUUCAGUGGCAUGCCUGGGUGCAUGUGGCGGUGUGCCCCGACACGGUGGCACCCAGGUAGCAUCGCAGGUGGUGAUACGGUUCGUGCCGUCCGCCCCAGCCCACACCCCCACCCGCCCCGCCAUGGGGAGCCCAUGCGCCUGCGCCGCCUGCCUUGACGGUGCAAGCCCACCAAGCAGCAUCAGGACAUCGAGGUGCAUGCCUGAAUGCCUAUGGCGGCGUGCACCGACACGGAUGCGCCUAGGUAGCAUCGCAGGUGGUGAUACGGUUCGUGCAGACCGCCCGCCCCACCCCCCACCCCCACCCCCACCCGUCCCCGCCACAGCGCCCACAUGCCUGCGCCACCUGCCUUGACGAUGCAAGUCCACGCAGCAGCCUCAAGACAUCAAGCGGCAUGCCGGGUGCCUACAGUGGUGUGCCCUGACGCGGGUGCGCCCAGGUAGCAUCGCAGGUGGUGAUAAUGACGAGUGUGGUGGGAACGAAUGCGUACGUAGACCAGAGCGGACGGCGGAGUGGGCUUGCAGGCGGCACGAGAGUAGGCAGUCAGUAGCGCAAGUUGCGAAUUCACAUGUUACCUCGUAACCGACGAUAAACGCUGUGGACGGUCGCGCCCAUGGCUGGCUGACAGAAAGCGGCUGCUGUAUUGGGAUGGCUGGGCUGGACGACGGCGGCCGGGCGUUGCUUGGGACUACCAGAAAGGAUGCGCCCGAGACCCCCGAUACGGUUCGUGCUGUCCGCCCCCAGCCCCGACCCCCACACCCUCCCGGCCCCGCCACGGCACCCACACGCCUGCACAACCUGCCUUGACGGUGCAAGCCCGGGUCGCAGCUUCAGGACAUCAAGCGUCAUGCCGGGGUGCCUACAGUGGUGUGCCCUGACGCGGGUGCGCCCAGGUAGCAUCGCAGGUGGCGAUACAGUGCGUGCUGUCCGCCCGCAGCCCCGACCCCCAACGCCCACCCGGCCCCGCCACGGCACCCACGCGCCUGCGCCACCUGCCUUGCGGGACAAGCCCGAAUCGCAGCCUUAGGACAACCAGUGACAUGCCUGGGUGUCUGUGGUGGCUUGCCCUGACUCGGGUGCGCCAGAUAGCAUCGCAUGUGGUGACACCGGUUCGUGAUGUUCGCCCCCAGCCCCCAGCCCCACCCACGGCGCCAGCACGCCUGCGCCACCAGCCUUGACUGUGCAAGCCCACGCAUCAGCCUCAAGACAUCCAGUAGCAUGUCUGGGUGCCUGUGGCAGCGUGCCCCGACGCUAACAUGCCCAGGUAGCAUCGCCGGUGGUGACACCGAUUCGUGCCGUCGGCCCCCAGCCCCCACCCCCAGCCCCCACCCCCACCGCCCCCACCCCAACACCCACCCGCCCCUGCCACGGCGCCCAUACGCCUGCACAACCUGCCUUGACGGUGCAAGUCCACGCAGCAGCCUCAAAACAUCAAGCGGCAUGACGGGUUGCCUGUGGCGGCGUGCCCCGACGCGAACACGCCCAGGUAGCAUCACAGGUGGCGAUACGGUUCGUGCUGUCCACCCCCAGCCCCUACCCCCACCCACCGCUUCACCCACGCCGCCCAUACGCCUGCACAACCUGCCUUGAGGUGCAAGUCCACGCAGCAGCCUCAAAACAUCAAGCGGCAUGCCGGGGUGCCUACUGUGGUGUGCCCUGACGCGGGUGCGCCCAGGUAGCAUCGCAGGUGGUGAUACGGUUCGUGCUGUCCGCCCCCAGCCCCCAGCCCCACCCACGGCGCCAGCACGCCUGCAGAACCAGCCUUGACGGUGCAAGCCCACGCAGCAGCCUCAGGACAUCAAGCGGCAUGCCGGGGUGCCUACGGCGGUGUGCCCUGACGCGGGUGCGACCAGGUAGCAUCGCAGGUGGUGAUACGGUUCGUGCUGUCCGCCCCCAGCCCCGACCCCCACCCCCACCCGGCCCCGCAACGGCACCCACACGCCUGCACAACCUGCCUUGACGGUGCAAGCCCGGGUCGCAGCCUCAGGACAUUCAGCUGCAUGCCUGGGUGCCUGUGGCGGUGUGCCCCGACACGGCGGCACCCAGGUAGCAUCGCAGGUGGUGAUACGGUUCGUGCCGUCCGCCCCCAGCCCACACCCCCACCCCCACCCGGCCCCGCCACGGCACCCACACGCCUGCGCCACCUGCCUUGACGGUGCAAGCCCGGGUCGCAGCCUCAGGACAUUCAGCUGCAUGCCUGGGUGCCUGUGGCGGUGUGCCCCGACACGGCGGCACCCAGGUAGCAUCGCAGGUGGUGAUACGGUUCAUGCCUCCCGCCCCCCGCCCACACCCGCCCACACCCACUGACCCCGCCACGGUGCCCGUGAGCCUGCGCAACCUGCCUUGACGGUGCAAGCCCGCCCAGCAGCAUCAGGACAUCGAGGUGCAUGACUGGGUGCCUGUGGUGGCGUGGGCGCACCCAGGUACCUAUCGCAGGUGGUGAUACUGUUCGGGUCGUCCGCCCCGCCUAUCUACGAUUUAGCGACCGCUCAUGAGCCAUCAUCUAAGAUAAACAUCAGGAGACAAGCAACGUUCUACAAAGCUGCAAAAUGCCUUCAGUGAAAGCCACACGAAAAAUGGUGCCGGCGACGCUCAUAUAAUGCAGCAGGAGCCCACACUAGUCAUUGUUCUAUGCUCCAUAAGCUAAUGCCUGAACAGGGGAGGGUAACAUUGCGCAUGUGCUGUGAAACCUUCUUCAAUUGCAUUUGGACGGGAAGCUUUCCCGUCUGGACGGGAAGCCAUCCCGUCUAGACGGGAUGGGUUCCCGUCUAGACGGGAUGGGUUCCCGUCUAGACGGGAUGGGUUCCCGUCUAGACGGGAUGGGUUCCCGUCUAGACGGGAUGGCUUCCCGUCCAGACGGGAAGCCUUCCCGUCUGGACGGGUUGGAGUCCCGUCUAAACGGGAUCCCAGGAAUGUUUUUUUCUUCUGCAAGAUAAUUAUGUAUUCUGCAGGGUACAAAUGUCAUGCAGGUAACGGCGGUAUCCUGUCAGGGUCGCGUCCGCAGUUCCCUGACAGGGCUGAAAUGGUCUGCAGAGGACUACGUAUCCCUGCAAACAUAUAAAUGUUCCUGUGCGUAUCGUCUGGACGGGACUCCAACCCGUCCAGACGGGAAGCCUUCCCGUCCAAAUGCAAUUGAAGAAGGUUUCACUGCGCAUGCAUAGAGUUACCCUCCCCCAUUCAGGCAAUCACUUAUGGAGCAUAUAACAAUGACUAUUGUGGGCUCCUGCUACAUUAUAUGAGCGUCGCUGGCACCAUUUUUCGUGUGGCUUUCACUGAAGGCAUUUUGCAGCUUUGUAGAACGUUGCUUGUCUCCUGAUGUUUAUCUUAGAUGAUGGCUCAUGAGCGGUCGCUAAAUCGUAGAUAGGCGGGGCGGACGACCCGAACAGUAUCACCACCUGCGAUGCUACCUGGGCGCGCCCGCGUCGGGGCAAGCCGCCACAGGCUCCCAGGCAUGCCCCUUGAUUUCCUGAUGCUUGCACUGUCAAGGCAGGUGGCGCAGGCGCACGGGCUCCCCGUGGCCAAGGGGCUCCAUGGCGGGGCGGGUGGGGGUGUGGGCGGGGGGCGGGAGGCACAAACCGUAUCACCACCUGCGAUGCUAUCUGGGUGCCGCCGUGUCAGGGCACACUGCCACAGGCACCCAGGUAUGCCACUGAAUGUCCUGAGGCUGCAACCUAGGCUUGAACCGUCAAGGCAGGUGGCGCAGGCACCCUGGCGCCGUGGCGGUGGGGGUGGGGCCGGGGGCUGGGGGCCAACGCCAUGACAGCAGUCUCACCACAUGCCAUGCGACCUGGGCGCACCCGACCUGGGCGCACCCAUGUCGAAGCACACCCCCACAGGCACCCAGGCCUGCCGCUAGAUGUCCUGAGGCUGCUGCGAGGGGUUUCACCUCAAAGCAGGUGGCGCAGGCACGCUGGGGCUAUGGCGGGGCAGGUGGGGGUGGGGCUGGGGGCUGGGGGCUGGGGGCUGGGGGCUGGGGGCUGGGGGCUGGGGGCUGGGGGCUGGGGGCUGGGGGCUGGGGGCUGGGGGCUGGGGGCUGGGGGCUGGGGGCUGGGGGCUGGGGGCUGGGGGCUGGGGGCUGGGGGCUGGGGGCUGGGGGCUGGGGGCUGGCGGCUGGCGGCUGGCGGCUGGCGGCACUAACCAUAUCACCACCAGUGCUCGUAUCUUAAGAAGGCAGGUGCGGUGCCAGUGACAGAUUUCCGAAAUAGGGCAUCUUUAAUUUUCAGAAACCAGCUGCCGCAGCAUCCAUCUUUCAUCCCAAAACGUUUCCGGGGGCUCCGCCCCCGACCUAUGCACGGUUCGUGUCAAGCCAGGGGUGUGGCAGGCAGUGUCAGCAAUCUCUCAAUCUCCCAUUCGUGCCGUGCAUCCAUCUCAAAACAGAAACUCCACACAAACACACAGCUUGGUACACAUGGCUGGUACUGGGCAUCUGGUGCAAACAAGCUUGUCCUGUUACAGCGUGCAGGGUGAGGUUGCUGUUGCCCCCAGCCCACGUUUCGGCUCCGGCACAGCAAAUAAAAUAUUCCGCCGCACGGGAUGUGCCCCUGUUACAGCGUGCAGUGUGAGGUUGCUGUUGCCCCCAGCCCACGUUUCGGCUCCGGCACAGCAAAAUAUUCUGCCCCACGGGAUGUGCCCCUGUUACAGCGUGCAGUGUGAGGUUGCUGUUGCCCCCAGCCCACGUUUCGGCUCCAGCACAGCAAAAUAUUCCGCCGCACCGCAUGUGCCGCUGUCACAGCAUGCAGGGUGAGGUUGCUGUUGCCCCCAGCCCACGUUUCGGCUCCGGCACAGCAAUAUAUUCCGCCGCACCGCAUGUGCCGCAGUCACAGCAUGCAGGGUGAGGUUGCUGUUGUCCCCAGCCCAUGUUUCGGCUCCGGCACAGCAAAAUAUUCCGCCGCACCGCAUGUGCCGCAGUCACAGCGUGCAGGGUGAGGUUGCUGUUGCCCCCAGCCCAUGUUUCGGCUCCGGCACAGCAAAAUAUUCCGCCGCACCGCAUGUGCCCCUGUUACAGCGUGCAGGGUGAGGUUGCUGUUGCCCCCAGCCCACGUUUCGGCUCCGGCACAGCAAAAUAUUCCGCCGCACGGAAUGUGCCCCUGUUACAGCGUGCGGGGUGAGGUCUGUUGCCUUCGUUGCUGAAAAAGCACCGGCUCUAUGGCUCCAUGGCAAAACGUGGCCCAUCCCCACGCCAAACCCCAGCGCCCUCUCCCACGCUCACCACGCUCACCCACCCACGUAAUGACUCCCCUACCUAGUAGAAGGCUGCCCUAUCUUGGUGUGCCCCCACGGUGCCAGCAGGACACGGCCGUAGAUAGAGUUUCCUGGGGAACCUCAUCAGUCACCCUUGCCUUGGGCCCGGACAAGUGACAGAAACACCAUAAAAUGUCUUCUGCGAAUCUCAGAAAGACCCCGCCAAACCUGAAGCGUUUCCACAGAUUUUUGGCCACGCACAAGAGUCAAAAAUUUCUUCCGCCGGAGGCAUUUUGGGGCAAAUUUCUGUCGAAAAGAAGGAAGAUACGAGCACUGAUCACCACCUGCGAUGCUACCUGGGCGUGGGGGCACGCAGCCACAGGCUCCCAGGCAUGCCCCUUGAUGUCCUGAGGCUGCUGCGUGGGCUUGCACUGUCAAGGCAGGUGGCGCAUGCAGGCGCACGGGCUCCCCGUGGCCCAGGGGCUCCAUGGCUGGGCGGGGGGGUGUGUGGGCUGGGGGCGGACGGCACGACAUGUGUCACCACCUGCGAUGCUACCUGGGUGCACCCGAGUUGGGGCACGCCGCCACAGGCACCCAGGCAUGCCACUGAAUGUAUGUCCUGAGGCUUCGACCCAGGCUUGCACCGCAAGGCAGGUGGCGGGCCGGGAGGCAGGGCCGGGUGGGGGUCGGGGUUGUAGAUACCAUCCCAAACUAAACCAAACCCAAUGCAGUAGGGCGAGGAGGAGAGCGUGGCAAUGGAGUGGCACACGGGGGCUGGGGGCGGACGCGCGCGCACUGCAAGUGUAUUCCGUGAGAUGUCAUAUCGGUUCUCUGUAUCCCAACAUUAUUACCACAACUCCUACCAUGCAGGCUCACAUUCUGCGCACUACCUUCAGACUCCACGCUGUACCGGCACUUGGUAUGUUGCUUUUUUGUGAUCUUCGAUCGCUGUAUGGCCUGCCCCUCAUGCGUGCCUAUGGCUGCUGCUGCAGGAGGGAUUCUCAGCUAUAUCCCGCCCGCGGCCCCUCUGAGUGGCCCACCUGGGAUGGAUGUCGCGCAAAGCCAGGUACGUCACAGUCACAGCGCAGUCACAGUCACAACCACGUCACAACUGGGCUAUGCAACCCUCACUAUGCACUAUGCACUGACAUCCACCCUCCCUCCACCCUCUCAAUCACUUGCUUGUCCUUUUACUCUUACCCUUCCCCAACAUCACACUGUUGCGCAUGCACAGCUACGCAGUUUCUUCACUGCUGUGGUGCUACUUCGCAGCAGAUGUAUGUGUGGACAGGCAAGUCAGGGAUGUCGGAUGGCAGAUUCCUUGAGAUCCUGAAAGUCUAGAAAGCCUUACCUGACAGUACAUACAUUCCUUCAUUUCUGUAAUCCAUUAUGUCUGCAGGACUACCCUGCGGAACGCCAAGCUUGUGCCAUCCGGGGAGCCCUGGCUGGAAGCCCCCUUGGAAACGGCCGCUUCCAUCAAACUUUGUUGAGGCAUCUGACUGAUAUAAUCGGUACAAUAAGGACAAAAGGCGUGAAACCUGGAUCGCCUAAGAGACUGUUGUGCUGUUGUGUGUGGUUACAAGGUGGUGAGCACGACGUGCAUUCCUGUCCUUGUAGAAACCUAGGCCCGGGCCGGGGGGCCCUUAUAACGCCUGCAACACUUACAUAUGCAGCUAGUUUGGUCCCCGAAUGGGGGUGUUUAUGCUCCUGUGCUCCCAAAUGGAAUCUAGUAACGCGGCUAACCUGGCCGGGUCCGCAUUCUGCAUGACGGCCUGCAUUCCGCCUGUAAAAUCGAUCUCGCUACCCAAACGCAACUGGUCGUAGGCCGUACACCGCAUGAGCACAUGAUUCUCAUCUUCGACUUCAUUUGCAACACAUAGCGGGCAAAUCCUCUCCUCCCUAGGUCGUCCAUAGGCGCGGUUGGCAGUAAGCGGCCAGCAGCAUAGGCGGAACCUCAUCAAGGCCUUGUGGUGCGCAACUGGUAUAAAUGCUCUACUGUGCCCUUGCAUGGUCAGUGGUGCCGCUCCUUCCGCACACAGCCCCAUCCAAUGCUUGUACUUGCUCAUCUGCACGCCUGGUUGCUUGUUGUCUGAUGGGAAAGUGCUUGGCUCAGACUGCAGCCGCUCGUGCUUCCACGCCUUCAUUAGACUCUCUCGAAAGGCGGAUACUAUUUGCCCUUCAGGCAGCGGGCUACCUGCUCGGCUCUCCUCCCUAAGAGACUGGUAAGCCUAAGAGACUGGUUGUCUUGGCCUACUAGUAUAUCAGAGUAAUGCAUAUGUGUAUUGGGGGGAGGUGCCAUUCAUGAUAUAUAUAGGGCAAAGAACCUCACCAGAACCAGACAUCAGUCUGUGGGGUGCGUUGAUGUGGGGUGUGUUGAUGUGGGCACAACCAAGGUUUGCCCCUUUGCUAUGACCUUUGCUAUGACUGUGUGCAUAGGUAUAUACGGUGUGCAUAGUAGCAGAGUUGUUGCUUAUGUUGCAGCAGUUGUCAGAGUAUGGAGUUCUAGGGAGUCUGCUAGUUCUGCCUGCACACUGCUGUGAUGGAUAAGAGGAGCUAGAGGAGCCUGGUCUUACAAAAAGAGCUAUCUUAGCCAUGUAGUAGUUGUGCUUGAGUAGUUGGGGAACGUGUCUUCCGCUGUCAUGAGCCUUGGGAACAUUUAUGAACAUUAAUUGACAAUGUACCCCUAGUACCACUAUGGUUUGACGCUGCACUGCAGUGUUUGGACAAUCCAGGAAAGGGCCCUGACAGGGACACUAUAGCCAGGGCUAAGUUGCCUCUACAGGAGCAAACUGGGGCUCAGGAAUCCACCGAACCUGCUCACAGCUAUUCCGUCCUGAGAGCCAGGAGCCAUCCCUCUAGGGGCGCACUGUCCUCACCCUGCCUGCGGGCCACCUGGCCCGCGGGCGUGGGCCAGCCUGACGCACAUCUUCCUGGAGUGUCCAGCUUAUGCGCAGGCGAGGACGUGGCUGCAGCAGCUGUGGGCCUGCGUUGCACCCCAGGCAGCAGCGCCGCCAGUGACAGACGCGGGCUUCAUGCUGGGGGACCGCAUCAUCACCGGAUCGCUAACUCAGUUAGUGAUUUGACUCGUCCUUACGGCAGAAGGGACCCGGGUACGAAUCCGGAUAAAAGCCCAAUUAUGCAAAAGGCGAAAGAUUGGUGCGAAACCGAUUGGUGAUCCCAUGAACGAUAGGUAAUUGCCCUUAGUGGCAAUUGCGGGCUUAUGCCCGCUGCAACCUAGAAAGGUCGUGGUGCAGAAGUCCGAUUAAGUGGCGAGGUCCAAGGUUCAAGACAAGGCUCAAGAUCCAAGGCUAGAGGAGGAGCGCCAUGGCUCCUCGGUUUGCAUGAACUGGCAGUGCUCCACUACUAUAACGCGGCGUUUCCCUAGCUCGAUAUGCUAGGUGUGCAGGCUUGGAUGUAGUGGACUUUGAAGAGCGGCCUAGGAGUUGGAGGUUGUAGUUUCGGAGCAACGCCAGCAAAGAAAACACCAGCGCUACGCACUCGCCCCGCCCAAACCCAC